GUAACUUACUGCACACCAAAUGUCCAGCCAGGUUUAUCAGAGGAACUUGACUCUUCUAUGCAGAUGGAACUUCGCCAGCAGGCAACGGUUUCACAGGCUCAGCAGCAGAGGACAUGUCAAGAGUACAAGGCAGACAAGUUAGGUUUAAUUAUCUCAAGAAUUCAUAUGUACACAUAUCUAUGAAAAAAAGCCAUGUGUAAAAUCAUUUUCAAAUAUAAGGCCCACAUAUGCAAAGAGGUAUUUGUAGAUCACAAGACAAAGGACAUUAUUGCUGGCCUUUUAAGAUGCAUUUAGGUUACAAUACAUAGCAGCUUGUUUCAGACGAUAGUUGCUAGCACAUAAUCAAAGAAGAACUCCAUCAAGUAAUGCAGAACACCACGCUGAGGAUUGCAUAUUUGCAUGCUCACAUUUGAGAUGAACUAAAAAAUUUCAAUAGGGCCUGAAGCUGUCAUACUUCUGUAGUUAUGUUACAAUCCAUAGUUUUCUAUAAAAUGAUGCAAUCGAUAUGAACACUGUAGUUUUCUCAUUGCCCGACAGGUAACAGGUUCCAAGUAGGUUGUGUACAAUAAUAUAUCUAUGCUUUUACUUUUCAGGCAAAGACAUAACUGCUCAACCUGAGAGCUUGAGGCUAGGUUUCUGAAAAAAAAAACUGUUCCUAAUAAAAGAAAAAAAUCUACAAGCCUUUGAAGGAAACAUAAAAUAAAGUAUACUAAAUUGACAGCAGCAGCCUAGCCUGUUCUGUUCCACGUGAUGAUCCAUCCAACAUUGCUAUCCAGAACUACAACAGCUCCACAAAUUACAACCUGAGAGAGAAGUUGAAUGAAUACAUGCAUCCAACAGUUUCAUAGUAUUAACAGAACUUUCUUUUUUUUUACCUCUUGCAAGAUUACUCAAAACGUAUUAACAAUGUGUGCACUAAAUUGACAAUUUCGCACCCAAACAUCCAAACUUUCCAAAGCAGAGUAAACCUAAUUUCAGAUCCAACAUUUAGCACUGAUUUCAGCUAUCCCAUGGUCGAAGCUACUAGAGUUCAGCUAACCCAACCAUGAAUUCUACCCCCAAUCACAACAUGGUCCAUGGCAUCACACAGGAGGCAAUAGGCUAGACAAUAUAUCAUUAAAACACCAAACCUUUGCAGCACCGUUUCGUGGAAGAAUCCGGCAUUGUUUCAUUGCAGAAUCGACCAAAAAUAAAUCAAGUGUGUGUCAAGUGAAAGUAGAAUUUUUUAUUAUCCUAGAAAAGAGUUGCAGGAGCAGGCACCAAAGCACAGAAACCAUUGGGCUCCCGGCCGGCCACAAAAUUGACAUGAUGGCUCAUGCCAUCUCGUGAUAUGAUGAUUGGAAAGGAAAAAACUAAUCCCGUGGCCAUUCAAUCCUACGACGAUUGAUACGAAUUCGAUCAAAUUGGAUUGGUCGAAUUGAAUGGACAAAAAUCAUGGAAGUGAUUACCUGAAGGCUUGCACGGGCACCGUGUUGGCAAACUUGCAGGCAGAGACGUCCAGAUGCCGCCGCCGGAACAGAUGCAGCCGUCGCCGGUUUGUUGCCAGAGAAGAUGGUUCGCACGGAUCCCCAUUCCUACAGCCCAUG
RNAcentral lists this long non-coding RNA (1586 nucleotides) under Setaria viridis. RNAcentral describes it as "long non-coding RNA (SVIR_LNC009362)". Lineage: Eukaryota; Viridiplantae; Streptophyta; Magnoliopsida; Poales; Poaceae. The record is from RNAcentral.